UGGCUCUGGCAUNGAUGAAGAGCGCAGCGAAAUGCGAUAAGUAAUGUGAAUUGCAGAAUUCCGCGAAUCAUCGAAUCUUUGAACGCACAUUGCGCCCCUUGGCAUUCCAGGGGGCAUGCCUGUCCGAGCGUCAUCGCAAGGUACCUCUCGAGCCCUGCUCGGUGUUGGGCCGCGCCGCUCUAGGCGGCGGGCCUCGAAUCUCGUGGCGGGCCCUGCGGGCUCCGAGCGCAGUAGCCUCUCGCUCGGGGGUUCGCAGGCACGGCCAGCAAGCCCCUACAGGUAUACCUCGGAUCAGGUAGGAGUACCCGCUGA
Molecule: unclassified non-coding RNA, 312 nt
Filed under: uncultured fungus
Lineage: Eukaryota; Fungi
Description: partial contains 5.8S ribosomal RNA and internal transcribed spacer 2
Rfam family: 5.8S ribosomal RNA (bases 1-133)
Source: RNAcentral